UACGUAGGGGGCGAGCGUUGUCCGGAUUUAUUGGGCGUAAAAGGCUUGUAGGUGGCCAUGCGAAGUCGGAUGUGAAAUCUCCCGGCUCAACUGGGAGGGGUCAUUCGAUACUGGCAGGCUCGAGGCCGGUAGGGGGGUAGCGGAAUUCCCGGGUGUAGUGGUGGAAUGCGUAGAUAUCGGGAGGAACACCAGUGGCGAAGGCGGCUACCUGAACCGGU
This 218-nucleotide ribosomal RNA is filed under the name uncultured bacterium. RNAcentral describes it as "partial 16S ribosomal RNA". It matches the Rfam family "Bacterial small subunit ribosomal RNA", at positions 524 to 738 of the family's 1533-position model. The record is from RNAcentral.